Molecule: ribosomal RNA, 255 nt
Filed under: uncultured bacterium
Lineage: Bacteria
Description: partial 16S ribosomal RNA
Rfam family: Bacterial small subunit ribosomal RNA
Source: RNAcentral
GAUCCUGGCUCAGAUUGAACGCUGGCGGCAGGCCUAACACAUGCAAGUCGAACGGUAACAGGAAACAGCUUGCUGUUUCGCUGACGAGUGGCGGACGGGUGAGUAAUGUCUGGGAAACUGCCUGAUGGAGGGGGAUAACUACUGGAAACGGUAGCUAAUACCGCAUAACGUCGCAAGACCAAAGAGGGGGGACCUUCGGGCCAUUCUUCGCCAGUCGGAUGUCGCCCAGAGUGGGUAUUAGUCUUUGGUUGGGUA